RNAcentral lists this long non-coding RNA (223 nucleotides) under Elaeis guineensis (African oil palm). RNAcentral describes it as "long non-coding RNA (EGUI_LNC002735)". The record is from RNAcentral. Lineage: Eukaryota; Viridiplantae; Streptophyta; Magnoliopsida; Arecales; Arecaceae.
AAGCCGCCUUCGAUCAGUACGGACUUCCUUUUGUAGGUGCACGUUUCUCAGCGAUCGGGCGAUGGGACGAUUUGCCGCAACAAUUUCUUUCAACGGUAAUACGAUGGCGCACUACUGAGAAAAAGAACUAAACAGGCGCGCGAGUAAAAUUCAAAUUUAGAAGGCCCGACACACGCGGGCAAAUGCCGUUCACCUGCAUCUUUAUCCCUUGUGUCAUCACUCC